AGGGCUUUCUAAGAAAAUAUCAACUUAAGCAAAAGUUAUUAAUUCUUCAAGAACAUACAGAGCACAAGUAGAUCAGGGCCGAUACAAACAUUAGUUUCAACAUAUAAGGCUAAUGAAUCAAGCAAUAGGAUAUCAGCCGACCACUGAUAAUGAACCAGAAGUUUACUCGACUACGUUUGAAACUACUGAAAUUAAACUGAGAGUCCAAGUUUAUGAUUACAACAAAAUACAUGACAUUCACUGAAAUUAUAUCAAGUUUAGCUAACUGUAAACAAAUUAGUUGACAAAUAUUAAACUAUGACAAGAAUACCAAGAUCAAGCUUUGAAUGAGGUUAAGAUUUAGACAUUGGAACACCAUUUUCAUUUAAUAACCAACAUUUCCACUCCAACGUUCCGAAAAUGUACCUGGAUACAACCAAAACAGCCUCAGAAUUUUAAGAGAAGAAGGUGAGAUCAGCAGUAGCUUAUCAGAAGUAGUUAACACGGCAACAACCAACUUUUAAACAAUUUUGAAUCCAAAAUGAUAUAGAAAUCCCUUGAAGGUUUCAAAGCUAAGAAGAUUAAAAGUAGAACUAGGCCAAUUUCUCCCAAAAAUACAAGAGAUUUUCAGUCUUUUUCAACUCAGUCGUUUUAUCAGUUUUCAGUAUUGUAAUCUCUAAAAAAUACCUUGACAAAGAAGGAAAAUAGGCCUCUUAUAGAGGGCCUCUAGGGCAGCAGAAUUGGUUCUAUUAUUUACCAAAUACCCCUUCCCCCAAUUUUCAUUCUUUCAUUUUAAAUCCUGAAUUUCUAAACCAAUUUCUCAAACUACCCGACCCUCUCUUUCCUGGAACCUUCCCAUUCAAUUUUUUUUAAAGAUUCUCUCACUUAAAUUCCGCCAAAUACACUUUAACUCCUUGGCAUUUACCAUCAAACCAAAUGUGGUUCAAGUUGACCCAACAAACAAAACACAAACCUUGGGCUUUCCAAACCCGGACAGACCCUCCUCCCUUUGGGCUUUGGCAUUCAGCAAACCCAAAUUCAAACUUAAACGAAUGGAUCCACAAGUACAAAUAAGAAAAAAAGAACAAUCUAACUCUGAACUUUAAUAACAUGAAAUCUUUUUUUUUUCAACGAAGCAAACUAAGAAUAUUAAGAGAAAAAGAAAAUCAACAGAUGUUUACCAAAGAAAUUAAUCUAACCUUAUAAACCAAAUGUGAUUUCAAUCCUAAUCAUGCAACAAAGCAAUUUAAAAAAAAAGAAACAAGAAAGAGACAGAGAAGAUCAGAAAAAGACGAGGACCAGAAUAAACAAAGACGAAAACGAAGAAAGAUCUGAAAUACCUAGAAUAAACAGGCAAAAAAUGGGCUUGAACGGACUUCAACACCUUCGAUUUUGAGCUGAAAUUGGCCUUAAUCGUAUGUUCUUGUCAAGAACAGAAGAACAAAGCCAGUUUCGACCCUUAAUCAUUCAUUGAAAGUUGGACAAGUUUGGGAGAUUUUCUUUUCUUCUGCUUUCCUUUUAGAUCCGAAAUUGGUUAGAUUUGAUAAGGAUUUGAGGAGAUGUGAUGAUGGAUUGGGAGUCAGGGAUGAGUGGUGGUUGUAUGGUCGAAGUUUGGGGUUGAUUGGAGUCCUGUUGUUGGUGAAAAAUGGUGGAAUUUGAAGGCGGCGUUUAGGGUUCAAACGAAGAAGAUGAGAGAGACUGAAGAUGGGUGUUUGGACUAGGUUGUUUGGGGUGUUUGGACACUUAUAUGAGAAGCUGAUGACUAGUUCAGGGCUGUCUGAUCAAAUGAAAUCGACGGCUACGAUGAAAAGGGUUGAAAGUUGGGUCGUUUGGUUAGAUAGGGGGUUGGACCGGGUUAGGGGCAUGAUUUGGGCUGGAUUCGGAACGGGUUUGGGGGAAAUUGGAUUGGGCCUGGGAAAAUUCAAUUGGAAUAACCCAAAAAUCAGCCUUUCUUUGGACUCUUUUCCCUUUCUUUUCAAUUUCCAAUUUUCCUUUUCUUUUCAAAUUAAAUUAAGACCUAAAAAC
RNAcentral lists this long non-coding RNA (2004 nucleotides) under Nicotiana tabacum (common tobacco). RNAcentral describes it as "long non-coding RNA (NTAB_LNC005494)". Lineage: Eukaryota; Viridiplantae; Streptophyta; Magnoliopsida; Solanales; Solanaceae. The record is from RNAcentral.